Molecule: small nuclear RNA, 165 nt
Filed under: Chlorocebus sabaeus (green monkey)
Lineage: Eukaryota; Metazoa; Chordata; Mammalia; Primates; Cercopithecidae
Description: U2 spliceosomal RNA
Rfam family: U2 spliceosomal RNA
About the family: U2 is a small nuclear RNA (snRNA) component of the spliceosome (involved in pre-mRNA splicing).
Source: Rfam by way of RNAcentral
AUUGCUUCUCGGCCUUUUGGCUAAGAUCAAGUGUAAAAUAAAAGUAGAAAACAUAAUGUGAUUGUGUGAUCUCUAUCAGUAUGUUACACUUCUUAUUUGACAACAUGUAUAAAGACAUUUUUUUGUGAAAUGGUGCUUUUUACAGUAGAGGCCUUCUUAUUCCAU